AAUAAAAGUAAUAAAAAUCUCAAAUAUUCCAUUUAUUUAUUACCCUGUCAUCAAAUUCAAGUUUAUCUUUGGGGCUGAGAAAUAGAAUUUAUGAAACAUCUUAAUAUUAAGAUUAUCCUACUUCAACAAAGAUUGAAAGAAAUAUGAUUUAAAUGAUUAUCAUGUUGAAAACAAGACUAAAGUGAUUCUUUUAUCUGUUAAUUAACCAGAGAUCACCAUUGGCAGAAGUAGUCAAUUGUUCAGAAAUCUGGAUUUGAUUUAUCUUCUAAUUUUUUCCUUACAAUUGUAGAAAAAAGAGUUUUUCAUUGGGGGUGGGGAUUCUUUCCUGUCUUUUCCUCCCUUGUCAGUUUUAGUUAUCUGUUUCCUUAUCUGUAAAAUGUGGAUAAUAAUACUAUCGACUUCAUAGGACUGAUAUGAGAACUAAAUCAGUCGAUACAUAAAAAUACAGUGAUUAUGGAAUUCCUGCUGUGGUGCAAGGGAUCGCCAGCGUCUUGGGAGCACUGGGGCUUGGGUUCAAUCCCUUGCCUGGCACAGUGGGUUAUGGAUCCAGCAUUGCUGCAGGUGCGGCUUAGGUUGAGAUUGAGGCUUGGAUCUGAUCCCUGGUUUGGGAGCUCCAUCUGCUUCAAGGCAGCCAAACAAACAAACAAACACAAAAAAAUAACCCACAGUCAUUAGAGCAGUGCCCUGCCAAUGAUAAGCACUGUAAGUCUUUAUUAUGCUGCCGUGCUGCUGUGUUAUUUUAUAUUCCCCAAACUUAUCCAUGCAAAAAUUGUGAUUAGUGAAUAGAGUAUAUGAGCGCAAAUUUGGUUUUCAGCUUUAUCUGAAGCAGGAUGAUAGUUAAAGCCAUGAGACUAGGUGAGUUCACCCAGGAAAGGGGCUUAGAGUGAACAGAGAGAAGUUAUUUCAGGCAGACCCCUAAGAGAUGCUAACAUGGGCAGAGGAUAGGAAAGCCUGCAAAGAUGGUCAGGAAGAAGUGACUGGAGGUUUAGCAAGACAGCCAGAGAAGGAAGGUCAGAAGAGUUUGGGGGUCAGAAAGACAAAAGAGGGGAUGAGCACCUGUUGCUGCACAUUCAAGAGCGGUGAGGAUUAAGAUGGUUUCUGGAUUUAGCCACUAGGUGUUUCAGGAAUUUAGUGAGAGUAGUUUUAAUGUGGUGGUGUGGGAGUCAGAAGCCAGAUUACAGUGGGUUAAGGAGCUGAUGGGAGAAAGUACAUAUAUUUCAAAAACAAAACAAUCCAAUAAGUUCGACUACGGUUAGGAGGGGCAGGACACGACAGUAGUUUUUUGUAGUUAUUUGCAGAGAUAAGAUACUGCAGACAGUAUCUUUAUUGGAUAAUAAAGGCCAUGAAGAAGGCAUGUACAAAUACUCAGGGGUCCCUGGCGAAGGGCAUUAGUGCACAUGUGGUGUUCUGGGGAGGAUUCCUCGAAGGAGUACCACUCAGGCGCAGAGUCAUCAGUUGAAUCGGAGUUGGUGGGAUGACAGACAAGGGAGGAGGAUAUUUUAGGUUUGGAGAAAGGCAUGGGUUUAUGAAUCAUUGGAGUAUAUGUUGGAGGAAUUACAGUGUUUUAGUAGUCAUCACUAGAGCAUAAAGAGUAAGUUCAGUAGGUCCAGAAGCCUGGAAAGGUGGGCAGAGCUGAGAGGGUGGUGGGGUGGGCCUUAGAAUCUUGAAGUUUAGCUUCUAGGUUCUUACUUCCCCGCUGGGGAUGUGCUAGGGUUACUGAAAGCUAUAGGAUCAAUGGGUACACUUCCUUGGGGUAUCUAUUUAACUGAAAUUAAGGGGAAAUUAUCGCUGUAUUAAAACAUGAUUAUAUUGUAAUACAGGAUUUAAAAUCCAAGAUAACAUAGAACUUAAACAUUUUGAAUACAUAAAACAUUUUGCCCUAGUGGCUGGCUUCUUCGGCCUUUGCUUCUUUAGACCCUCCGUCCCCCACCCCCAAUCACUUUCUUCAGGUAAAAGAGUUUAAAGAGCAUCCGUCUAGGUCAUGGGGAAUCAUUGAGGAAUUAUAGGCAGGAGGUGAUGACAUCUGUAUUUAGUGGAGAUCAGCCUAGAGGAGGUUUCAGACUCCUCUGUCACACAGCCAAGGGUCACCAUUCACCUAGAAUAGGAUGUGAAAUACCGUAAGUAGAUAAGAACAGGGCAAGAGGGCGGGGUAGGGCAGGGAGACUUAUAAGGUGGCUGCUGAGACGAGCUAGUGGCCUCUGCAGUGGGCUUGGGGAAGAAGGAAUGAAAAGUGGUAUUUGAGGAGAUAGAAUCAGUGAGGCUAGUGUGGAGAAGAGGUGGGCGGGUGAUGCGAUGGAAGCACCUAAGUCUACGCUCAGGUUUCUGGCUUCGCAUCAGGGCACCCUUCCUAGUACUGGGAAUAGAGGAAGAACAGUCUGGAGUAUGGGAGGGGAUAAACUUGGUGGUCCUAAAUUGGAGAGGUCUUUGUGCCAUGCCGCUGGAGCCCCGUAGCGGGCAGGUGGCCGUGUGUGUGCCACCUUCCAGAAGGCCUGUCCUGAUGAUACACCUUCAGUAUUCCUGAGUGGCCGUCACUGGCAGUGGGAGCCGCGAGCAUGACUGAGGUGGUCUGAGGGGAGCACAGGGACUGAGAAGGAGCUAAACAUAGAGCCGGGAGGGAGCACUGCCAUCUGGGGGUGAGGCUGAAGGAAAGGAACUUGAGGAGAAGGGGUCAGAGGUAUGUGCGGAGGAACACAGACGGGAAGAAGAGCGACGUGAUGGGGAAUUUCAAGAAGCGCCGAUUGCUACAGAGAGUUUUAAGAGUGGACUGGGAAAUGCCAUCACGAUUUACGAGUGGAGGAGGUCCCUGCGGGUGACCUUGGCCGGAGCUGUUUCAGUGAUGGGGGCGGGGACUGCAAACCUGGCCCGAGAGGUUUGGGCAUCCAAGGAGGAGGGGAAGCCGAAGUAGAGGCGGGCAGCGGGCACCGCUGUUGUGAGCCUGGCUGGGUGAGGUGGGGGAGAGAACAGUGGGAAUCCCAGGGUGCUUAGAGCUUUACUGCCUCUUUCUCCCUCUUCCACUGGAAAGAAAGUUGCACAAGGCAACUUUCUUUGUUUUAUUCCCUGCUUUAUCUCCAGGGUAGAAGAGAACUCCUGGCACCCAGUAGGUGCUCCAUGCAUAUUUAAUGGCUGAAUGAUGAGUUAUGUGAAGAGACUUGAGCAAGUUCAUUUGCGGGGUGGAAGGGUGAGAGGUCUUGGAGAGGAGGGCUGGAAGGUCUAGAGGAGAAAGGAUGUCAUGGAACAGUCUCCAUGAGUCAGGAGACUGCGAUUCCAAGCCCCUCUGGGAGUGAUUAUCGAGGAUACUCCUUUUCUGCCGAAACUGAAGCAAAGGAAGACAGGAUGGGAGCAGAGGCAUGUAUUUACCGGUGGUGGAGGAGGAAGUUGAGGGAGUUCUCCCCUCAUGGCUUGAUGUGUAUUCCCUGAGCUAAAAAUAAACUAAGAAUGAGUAUUGUGUGUAUCCUUGGAAACCAGUUUUGAAGACAUACAAAAAAGCCACCCCUAUUUAAGCAGCUCUGCCUACAGAGAGUCAUAGACAGGUAAUUGUGGGCACACAAGGUUGUGGUCAAUGGCAUGAGAGGUAGAUGAGGUAAGGAUGCGCCGUGGGGAUGAGUAAGUAGGUGAGACAGGAGGUCUCUAGUCUCAAACGGGAAUGCAGGGUGUGGCCAGGAGGAGGGAUCCGUCCACGCACCCUGUGUGCGCCCGUUGCCUUCUGUCCUGGGAACCCUCUGCCGGCAGGAGACUGUCCUUGGAUCCUGGGGAAGUGAGGGGAGAGCCAGUGCAGGAGGCUCACGUUCCUCUUUGAGAUAAAAAUGAACAGAAGCCUGAGCCUUGAGUGCAGUAGAGUCACUCAUUGUUAGGCAGCUCCUCUGGUUCUAACCAGGCUGGUUUUCCAGUGAUUUAUUUCUGAUUCAUUUGACAGGAAACUGCUUUCCCAGCUUUUGACAAACCUGUUAUCUGAAAUGAUUUGUCUGUUUAAAAGCAGAGGUGGUAGCGAGAAAGGAUGUGACAGUGUCGCAGUGAGUCAUAAAAAACGAGACAUGACCGUGUUUGUUCAGCUCAUCGGGCUUUAUCUAAAGUUAAUUUAAAGAAUAUCAAAAUGUCCACUUUGUUUUAAUUAGGAAUUGUUUAGUAAUAAGGUCUCACUUGUUCAGAAUUCUCUGUUUUCAGUCUAAUUGAGUUCAAGGCUACUCACUUCUCAGGAGCUUUCUGAAAGGGACAGUAGAGGAGUAAGGAUGGGUCUUUUAGUCUUCUAGACUUCCGUUGAAAUUAAAUAACACAGCAAAGCCGAUUUUUUUUCUUUUGCUGUUAACCUUACUGCCUUUAUUGCAAAUCAGUCUCUGACAGUAAAGCGGUACGAGGCAAGGCAGGAUUGGACUUGAGUCCUGGUAACUUCUGUUUUUUGCAUUUCUCAUGUGUUAAAAGCAUGUUCCCUAUAAAAUGAGGAGAGGCUCUUUUAGAAAGGGAUCACAUUCUAAGAGUAAAAGACAGGUGUCUUGUGUAAAAAUCACCUUUCAAUUUUUGGAGGUGGAGGGAAGUAACUUUUUUUCUUUUGACAAAAGGUGAAAUCAGAGGUUGGCUAAGAUAGGCUGAUUAGAACUUGGUUAUCAUCUCAGUUGGCCUAGUACUUAGAAUUCAUUCUCUCUAAGCCAUCCCACUUCUCAUGGGGAACCUCUGUGCCUCCCCCUCACUCCCUCCAAGUCUAAGUUUUUUCGCCAUUAGUUGAAUAGUUAGAACUCCAGUUAGGACUUUAUUUGUGUGGGGGGAGGGGAGAUGACUUUAUCAGCAUUUGGGGAGAACCUAGGGCAUAAGAGAGUCUUCAGGUCAAUCUGGCAUCAAUAAACUGGGGACCUGUUUCCCAUUUUUACAGAGAAUUAACUGGGAAAGCUUUCUGAGGUGCGGCCUGUCAGAGGCAGUGAGUGAGGUAACAGGGAAGAGAUCACUGGGUUCAGGCCCCAUUUCUGCUAUUUACAAGCUUUGUGACCUCAGGCAAGUUAUUUAACCUCUCCUAGCCUCUAGGAGAUAAAGUAGCUCGGAGAGAGAACAGAGUUCUACCCAGCUCUUAAUUCCUGAGGUGACCUAUAAGUAUGUUUUUGGAAAAUGUAUGAAAAGGAAAUCUUAUGUAAUUAAUUAAUUAGUUGGUUAAUUAUGGCCUCGGUGUGCAGCAGCUUGAUGUGGGAUCUCAGUUCCCAGAUCAGGGGUUGAACCCAGGCUGCAGCAGUGAAAGCACCAAGUCCUAACCACUAGAACACCAAGAAACUUCCAGGAAAAUGUAUUUUAAAUUUGUUAGGACAGUUAUAUUUAAAGAAAACCCAUGUAUAGUGAGAAUCAUCAGUUGCCUAAUUUAUAAUCGUUCAGUCAAAAUGUAUACAUUGAAUUUUCUUUCCAAAAAAUUUUUUUUCUUUUUAUUGCUGCACCUGAGGCAUAUGGAAGUUCUUGGGCUAGGAGUCGAAUUGGAGCUGCAUCUGUGACCUUCGCCACAAUCACAGCAACAGCAACACCAGAGCCUAAUCCACUGAAAGAGUCCGAGGAUCGAACCCACAUCCUCAUGGACACUGUGUCAGAUUCUUAACCCACUGAGCCACAGCGGAAACCCUCAUGUUGAAAUUUCUUAAAGCGAGGUAUGUGGAAUAUGUGCUGUUAUUGUUUUAGCCUUGUGAGGGCUAGGGAACAGGACUUUUGUUCUGACUCUUAUAAUUUACAACUUGUUGAAUUCCCUUCCUGAUGUAUCUCCUCAUCCCCUUGCCUCCAGCCCCCAACCUCAGCAUCCUGUGAGUUUAUCUUUUGUAAUGCUUAUGUUCCCUUCCAUUUCUGUUUAUCCUUCCCAGAGGCUGGAAGCCAUGUCUUAUUCAUCUUUUCUUUCCCUAACUGUAAAACAUUGAGGGGAAGAAAAAUAGUAUGUGAGGAAAUAGCUAACAGCAGAGUCACAGAUUGCCCAGAUUUUAAUUCAGGGUAAUGAGAAAAUGUUGGUGUUAUAUAUAGAAAUACCUGAGGUGCUGGUUUGGGGGAGAGAUGCUGAGUAUAAUUUUGGGUAUGAUGAUGUCUGUGACAUUGACAGGACACUCAGGUAAACUGGUCAGUAGGCAGUUAGGAAGGGUGAAUUACACCCUGAAGCGUGGUUGGAGGAUCUGAGCAUCAUCUUCAUGAGGUUCAUCAGGGUGAAUCAGCUCUUCGGAAGGGAAAGUGAAAAAUGAAGCUCAUGGGAAUGCCUAUAUUUAGAGAAGCAGAGGAGAAAGACGAGUCAUCCAGGCUGCCGGAGGUGACUGGAGGAGGUGGACUUGUGGUGCUUGGCUACACAGCUUUUAUGGAGAUAAAUGCUUAAUGGUACAGAAGCUACAGAGAGGUUAGGAGAAUUAGAUGAGGGAAUACAGAUGAUUGGAUUAGUCAGUUCCAGUCCUGUGGCUGAAUCAGAGGCUACAUUAAAAAAUGAUGUGGGAGGAGUUCCUGCUAUGGUGCACUGGGUUAAGAACCUGACUGCAGCUGCUCAGAUCGAUGCAGAGGUGCAGUUUCAAUCCCCAGCCUGGUGCAGUGGCUUAAAGGAUCCGGCAUUGCCACAGCCUCUGGCUCAGACUCAGUCUCUGGCCCAGGAACUUCCAUAUACUGUGGGUGCGGCCAU
This 6607-nucleotide long non-coding RNA is filed under the name Sus scrofa (pig). Its description in RNAcentral is "lncRNA (ENSSSCG00040022313.1)". The record is from RNAcentral. Lineage: Eukaryota; Metazoa; Chordata; Mammalia; Artiodactyla; Suidae.